This 506-nucleotide long non-coding RNA is filed under the name Spirodela polyrhiza (greater duckweed). RNAcentral describes it as "long non-coding RNA (SPOL_LNC001098)". Lineage: Eukaryota; Viridiplantae; Streptophyta; Magnoliopsida; Alismatales; Araceae. The record is from RNAcentral.
UCGGAUGUUACAAAGUAGAUGUGGCAGAGACACCCAGUGUCAUUUCCCAAACGCAAAGCACCAAGUCGGGUGUAAGCAAACAAAAUGCCAGCGGAAACACGAGCAUCCACAAAUCAAAGAAGAAAUUGAAAACUGUCUAGAAGCCCUAGCUUCCUUGAACGAGAGAAGAUGCCGAAAACAUCAUACGCCGCUCCGCCCCCGGCAAUUUUCCCCUUCUCCCGGGGAAGAGGCUCCAUCUCCCAGUUUAGACGCCCACUGAUCCACAUGCUGAAACCCGAACGACGGUCCGUUAGCAUUCCAAAUUUAGGAGGAAAACAAACCAAAGAUAGCAUCACUCCUCGACCUUGAAAGAACAACCUCCCCAUCUCUCCUUGCUUCGGGGGAUAUACCGAUCGCCGACCGCACCGAUCUUUCUUCUCACGAAGAUCAUAGAAGAUAAUUGCCGGCAACCCUGCUCCGGGACCUUCCGCCUUCUCCCAGCAGCGGGGGAACCCAUCUGCUGUUCU